UACGUAGGGAGCGAGCGUUAUCCGGAUUUAUUGGGUGUAAAGGGUGCGUAGGCGGUUUGUCAGGUCUAAGGUUUAAUCCCGAAGCUUAACUUCGGUUCGCCUUAGAAACCGAUUAACUAGAGUAUUGUAGAGGCAAGUGGAAUUUCUAGUGUAGCGGUAAAAUGCGUAGAUAUUAGAAGGAACACCAGUGGCGAAGGCGGCUUGCUGGGCCAUUACUGACGCUGAGGCACGAAAGCGUGGGGAGCAAAUA
Molecule: ribosomal RNA, 250 nt
Filed under: uncultured prokaryote
Description: partial 16S ribosomal RNA
Rfam family: Bacterial small subunit ribosomal RNA
Source: RNAcentral